CUACGGGUUGCUGCAGUGGGGAAUAUUGGACAAUGGGCGAAAGCCUGAUCCAGCAAUGCCGCGUGAGUGAAGAAGGCCUUAGGGUUGUAAAGCUCUUUCAGUCGUGACGAUGAUGACGGUAACGACAGAAGAAGCCCCGGCUAACUCCGUGCCAGCAGCCGCGGUAAUACGGAGGGGGCUAGCGUUGUUCGGAAUUACUGGGCGUAAAGCGCACGUAGGCGGCGUAUCAAGUCAGAGGUGAAAGGCCCGGGCUCAACCUGGGAACUGCCUUUGAUACUGGUAUGCUUGAGUCCGGAAGAGGGUAGUGGAAUUUCCAGUGUAGAGGUGAAAUUCGUAGAUAUUGGAAAGAACACCAGUGGCGAAGGCGGCUACCUGGUCCGGUACUGACGCUGAGGUGCGAAAGCGUGGGGAGCAAACAGGAUUAGAUACCCUCGUAGUC
Molecule: ribosomal RNA, 439 nt
Filed under: uncultured bacterium
Lineage: Bacteria
Description: partial 16S ribosomal RNA
Rfam family: Bacterial small subunit ribosomal RNA
Source: RNAcentral